AAUGAACGCUGGCGGCAGGCCUAACACAUGCAAGUCGAACGGAUCCUUCGGGAUUAGUGGCGGACGGGUGAGUAACGCGUGGGAACAUCCCCAAAGGUACGGAAUAGCCUCGGGAAACUGGGAGUAAUACCGUAUGUGCUCGAAAGAGGAAAGAUUUAUCGCCUGUGGAGUGGCCCGCGUUGGAUUGGGUAGUUGGUGGGGUAAUGGCCUACCAAGCCGACGAUCCAGAGCUGGUUUGAGAGGAUGAUCAGCCACAAUGGGACGUAAACACGGACCGGACUCCGACGGGAGGCAGCAGUGGGGAAUCUUUGUCAAUGGAGGAACCCCUGAUCUAGCCAUGCCGCGUGAUCGAUGAAGGCCUUAGGGUUGUAAAGAUCUUUCAGGUGGGAAGAUAAUGACUGUACCACCAGAAGAAGCCCCGGCUAGCUCCGUGCCAGCCGCCGCAGUAA
RNAcentral lists this ribosomal RNA (449 nucleotides) under uncultured bacterium. Its description in RNAcentral is "partial 16S ribosomal RNA". It matches the Rfam family "Bacterial small subunit ribosomal RNA", at positions 29 to 523 of the family's 1533-position model. The record is from RNAcentral.